RNAcentral lists this ribosomal RNA (244 nucleotides) under uncultured bacterium. RNAcentral describes it as "partial 16S ribosomal RNA". It matches the Rfam family "Bacterial small subunit ribosomal RNA", at positions 90 to 334 of the family's 1533-position model. The record is from RNAcentral.
ACUGAGUGGCGGACGGGUGAGUAACGCGUGGGUAACCUGCCUCAUACAGGGGGAUAACAGUUAGAAAUGACUGCUAAUACCGCAUAAGACCACAGUACCGCAUGGUACAGGGGUAAAAACUCCGGUGGUAUGAGAUGGACCCGCGUCUGAUUAGGUAGUUGGUGGGGUAACGGCCUACCAAGCCGACGAUCAGUAGCCGACCUGAGAGGGUGACCGGCCACAUUGGGACUGAGACACGGCCUAA